ACCUUGCGUAUUUUGGAGGUACACAAGCAAGUAGACUGUGGCAGCUGAUACACACCUAAGAAAGUGCUUCAGCUUUGUUAAAAGAGCAGAGGAGGGUGCCCACAGAGACCAACUCCUUCACUCACAGAAGGAAAUCAUCAGAGUGCACACGGACUGUUUCCAAAAGGGAGAUGGCGGUAUAGUUUUGCAGGUGACUGAGUGUAUUUUGAGACUUGGGCCAGUGUCGCCUAUUUAUGUUUUCUGUCAGAAUGUAAUAGAUAGUUGGCUUGGUUUUGUCCUCAUGCUGGGGCUUUGCCAGGGGCUGGAACAUGUCACAUCCAGAACUCUGUGCUGCUGCAGUUCUUUGUGAUACUGGGCUGCAUGCUGUGAUUAUUAGCAGGAAACUCAAGGAGUAAGGGGAGAUUCUGAUUUUCUGUGCUACCAUGUCUUUAGAUGUAGAGGUCUAGUUUUAGCUAAUUUCUAUUGAAGGUAUGUAAAAUAAAAUAGAGUAUCUAAGAAAGAAAUGUUAUACGUGAAAGAAACAGUUAUUUUACAUAAACCACUAUUUGCAUAGGUAAAAGACAUAAUAAAGAAGGUGCCAGGAGGACACAAACUGUAUUUAAGACAUGCCUUACUUGCAAGGAAGACCCUUUUACACAUCACAUCAACAAACAGAGAGAAAGUGAAAAAAUUAGGGUAUGUCACUGAAAAGGAACUUCCUGACAGCAUCUAAAAUAUAUUGCUCAGACUGAAAAAUUCUUCAGACCUUUAGGGUUAAUGUAGAUACUUCUUGAUUAAAGAAAAAUGUUGUAACAUGAGGCUGUUAAGAAUUUUACACCUCUAGGAAAAAGUGACAUGUCUGGUGGUUCUAGAGCCAUCAAUACCUCCUUCCUGGGUCAGAGAAAGAACAUCUGCUUGCUGAAUCUCCCAUGUCUUUCAUAGUAGUAAUAUAAUUCUUGCUUCCAUGGCUUGUGAGAUCUCCUGGUAUCACACUUUACAAAUGCACUUUACUACAGCUACAGUUUUGUAUUUUGAGCUGAAUACUGUAUUUCAGACAGAAAGCACCAGCUGUGCUAGUUCAGAUACACCGAGAGUGGCUGAGCAGUCACCGGUUUCAGCAGAACAUCAGUCAGCAGAGUGCAACAUCCCAGCAGGGAAGCUAAUAUAUUUUCAUGCUGCUUAUGCAGAGCAGGAACACUGCAGGCUCACAGGGUCUGAAAAAGUCAGGUACAACCCUAUGUUCCUGAGAAACAUGAAUUAAUUCAUUUAGAAACUACUGCAAUAGGAAACAUUACAAUAUAUCACACUGACUUCCCUACCUUGGUGAGUAACUUUCCUCUCAGGUUGUUGCAGUUCUCAUUUGCGGCAGCUUUGGACUGGACCAUGCUGGUGAUCACGCGUGGAGGGUCAGCACCUAUUUGAUACUGUAUGCUGCCAUUUCCAAGAAAAUACCUAUUGAAAAGAGAGGAUUUGCAUAAAUCGAAGAUCCUAUAAGUGGCCUCUCUUAUGAAUGACAAGAUUUGCAGCCACGGUGAUGAUGGAAGAUGCCCAGUGGCACGGCCACACUCCCUUCCUGUGACACGGAGCACACGCCGAAUAAAGGGACAUCUGAACUGUUGCGUAAAGACACAGAGGCCAGAGGAGAUGGAGAAAGAUAUGAAUGAAUGGAAGAACUGAAAAGGUCAAUCGAUGGAGUUCAUCUGAGUUACCUGUGGCAGAAUUUGCUCCAUGUUUUACAUGCUGGCACAGGCACCACUUUCUGCAGCAGCCUGAUCUCAGUCUCACUGAACUCAGGAGCUCAUUGUCCCUCGGCAUGUCACAGAUCGCAGCACGGCCCUGUCUUGGUUGCUGGAAUCACAGGUUUCAAGCCCAGCAGAAUUUGAUCUAUGUAGCUAGUCUAUUUGACCUGUCAAAGAUAAAAAAAUUAACCCAUAAUUCCUGUACUGAUGGUGAUAACUUCUGCUCCAGGUAAGGCAUAUCUUUCAAAACAAGCUCAAAAUCUUAAUGUAAAGACUUUAUUCCACCCUAGUCGUGAAAACUUGCUGUACCCUCAGAUAGAUUGUUCCUCUGGGUAGUUACCACGUCUUUUAAACAUUGCUGUGUCCUUGCACUCAUAUGCUUAUAUUUCUGUAUUUGUCCUGGAGAGCUUUAUUAUGGCACAGUAAAGGCCCGUGAUCAAUUCACCAGCACUUUCUGUGAAGUAAAGGGAGACCAUGGGGUGGGAGGUGUCAUGGAACUUUAUUGCAUGACCUAAUAUUUGAUUGUGUCGGGGUUUUAUGAUGACCUUAGUUUAAACAAUGGGAAAAUAACUGUUAGUUACAGUACAGUGUCUGUAGUCCAGGGCUCCAAGAUAGUAGCUAAUUAAGCUCCAUAGCAUUAGGGAGAGGAAAGGGAUGCCUUAAUCCAUAAGAAACUUGUACAACUCAUAUUGCAGGUACUGUAUUUGUUUUACAGCUGAUGGAGGGGACAAGAGCAGCUAUAUGAUUGGGUUGUGUGACAGUUUGUCUGCCUCCUGACCCCAUGGCUGUCUUGCGAAUAGUCUGUCCAGAAAGGCUGUCUGGAUAUGCACAAAAAGCUGGUGUGUCUGUGAAAGUGUAAAACAGCAUGUUGAGGCUCACACAGCCCAUGUACCACAGGAGGCUUGGUCCCGAGGGCAGCCACUGAAUUACCUUGACUCUGGAGCAGAGAUCUGCUCAGGGAGGUCAACUUUUCCAGUGCCCAUUCCUCACGUAUGGUCAUUUUUGAUUGAGAUAAUACUUACUCAUCUCUCCAGAAGAAUCAAUACUAUAUCCUUUGUCCCAGUUUGGAUUUAACCAGAAGAAACAGCCUCUUCUGGAAUUUAAGUCCCAAAUAAUUGUCCAAAAUCAUGUUCAAAGAUAACCAUACAAGCACCAGCGCCACUCAGGAUUUCCAUUCUGAUUGUUUCCUUUUUCUUCAACAUGUUUUAAACUGAUUAGAAAUUUUGUCUUUUGAUUCACGGAGUAAAUCUUAGAAGACUUGACUCAAACAUUCAAGAGUAUUGCAGGUUUACAGAGGCCUUCGAAACUGAAGAAAGCUAUGAACUCACUAAGUCUGUGCUCUACUCUGCUGGCUUUUAUAUGUGUCAGGAGAAACAUUAUACAGCAAAAUAUAAGUGCCCUAAAUGAAGGUACUUCCAUGUAGAGUGUCUCUGGCUUAAGUCAUAAUGUUGAAAAGUGAACAAGAAUAAUUGAAUUCAAAUUUCUCAUAUUAUUUAAAAACAGAGCAACAAUGACAGUGAACAGACAGAUGCAUAGUUUGUGAAACACCUCUGGUUUUGCCUUUUUUCUGUUUACCUUUCUCUUUUAAAUUCUCAAAUUAAAACAGUUGAAAAUGAUACAUACUGACAUGUAGAAACAGCUGACUUUAUGGUGCCUAAAUAAUUGUCUAUAAAAAUAUCACUUACCAUUGCCAAGUAUCUUCUUAUUUAAGUCCACUGUUAUCAUGCCUUCUUGGAUGUGAAAUAUGCAGCAGAGUCAGUUCCCAGUGUGUUAAACACUUGACAAAAUAAUAAACGCAGUGGAACUCCACAGUGUUUGGAUAUUUGACUGUAACUCCUAAGCAUGCGAAGAGACGACUCAAUAUAACAACUUUUCCUCUGCAGAAAAUGCCUUGCUAUUUGCCAGCAAAUCCUUAAUGCUUUAGAUUGGGUAUUUCCAACUACCGCCCUACUUGCUAGGCAGAUGUGUAUAAAAGAGAUGUUAUUUCACUGAAUCAACCACUGAGAUCGUAACCCUUUUCCUGUACCACAAACAGAAAUGCAAAACCUCAGACUUUCCUUUUGGACUUUUACUGACUUGUGUUUGUUGUAAGAAAGCAAAACACAACUAGUCCGAGGGCUAAUAGAUGGAAAAUGUGCUAAAAUGUUUUAGAUCGUCUCAUUGCUUCUCAUUCCUGCAAUUCAUUGGUUAACUGGCUCGUGCUGUGUUUAUGUAGUUGCAUGGUACAAAUACAACACCUAAACUUCUUGCCCAAAGUUGAAAUGAUUCAUUUAUGACUUUUUACGCCCCCCUCAAAAAAAAAAAAAGAAGAAAGAAAACACACAGUGCUCAUUUAACCCAAGUGAGUGAAAACGCCUUUCAUAAGGUCUGCAAGGGCUUUGGGAGGUUUUUCUUUGGUGAAUAAAGUCUGUGUACUUGAGGAAAGAGUGUUGUCUGAGGACGGCAGAAGUCAAGCUAAAGCAAACAGACACAAACUAGGAUCCUUUUGCUGUAUGGAAAUGAGAUAACAGCAAAGGAGGUGCAAAUGUUACAUCAGUUCACUUGAGAGGGAUUCAUUGUUUUGGGGAACGGAGUGAAGGCAGAAGGAGAGAGGAGGUAUUUUUACAAGGGUUUGUAAGACUCUGGUAGUGCUUUGCUCUCUGGAAUUACAUCAUUGGUCUAAGUUUAUGUCUUUCUGUGAGGCAAUUACUCACCUUAAAUAGAUAAUAUGUAGGCUUUCCAUCUUCUGGAUACUUACAAAUAUUACUUAAUUAAAUGUUAUGGCCACAGUGGAGAAAGCACAAAGGAAAUCAUGAGUGAUUGCCAUACUAAGAAGUGGAAAACAGGACUGAGUAAAGACAUUUCCUCUGCUCCUUUUUCUAGAUUGGAGAGAACAGGGCUAUGUGACAAAUCACUAUUCCAUAGGAUGUACCACCCUGAUUUCUGAUACCAGCUGUGGAUCCAGUUACUGUCAGAAAGAGAGGAUUAUGAUGGGCAAUGCUUGUUCUCCUGCCUGAGUCCCAGCCAUAAUGAAACCAUCCCAGCACAACCCUGAUGGGACAGUGUUAUUCUGCCUUCGUUCAUCAUCCUCUCCAGAUGGGGUAUUAGAAUUAGUCAAAUUGUAGCACUAGCAGCUUGUUUCAGAACCACAGCUGGGAUCAGCAUGUCUAGACUAGCACUGAUUUAUUCCUGGCUUUCAGACCUAUGUGCAUGCUACUAUUCCAUGUGCUUCCUGUUAGAGAGGUAAUAAUGCCAUUUCACAACGUAACUUUAAUUUUUCUUAUUUUUUUCCCCUCUCCUUUUUAUUGUAAUUAGGAUUUAUUUUGCUUGUGUGGGAAAAUAUCCUGCCUCUUCCCUGGACAGGACUCCUGCCAGUUCUGCUGGAACAGAGCAAACUUCCAGACCGACAAAAUAAAGUUCACAAAGGAAACAGUUAAAUUUUCUGACUGCAUUCACUGUCACAAAAAAUGCUAAACACAUUUGAAAGUUAUAUAAAACUGCAUCAGUUCAUAUUUUCCCCUUCUGGUUUCACAGCCCGCUACAGCAAAAGGACCUUGUGACAUGUCCAGGCUCUCAAGAGCUUAGUAAUAAAAAUAAAAAUCCUCAGCAGAAAACAACACUCCACAGCCUCCCACUGCUGGCCAAAUGAGUUUCCCAUUUUCCUCACUUAUCCUCAGACUAAACAAUGUUAAAUUUACAAAUCUGACAUCUAUUUAUAGCAAGCAUUCUACCCCAGGAAGCACAGAGGUUGGUGUAUAUCAUUGUCCAUAAUCCACAGGACAGCUUUCAACCUGACAUGUCAAAUAAUUAGGGGAGAAACCUCCUGCCUUAAUUAACAUCUAAGCAAUAUAUGCACUGAGGCAUACUAUAGCCCUCAGCUGGGUGGUGUGCAUGCGUGGGGUGGCGUUCCUUUGCUGUAAAUUAAUCUCUGAUUUUACUUUUUCUCGUUUGCCCUCAAUAGUAAUUGAUAAUGUCAACAGCAUUGUGCACUUCUAACAGCAGUCUGCAGAGCAUGGAGAAGCAACCUGCAAAUUAAUGGGUGUCCAACAGCGCUGAUAAUCCCGACAGCAGAUGCUGAAGUAACUAAGCUGGUGAACUGUGCCUGCCCUGGGGGGAAAUUGGGCUACAAACCGUGUGGGGAGCAAUGGGCUGACUGGUGUGAGACUGUGGAAGCAGCAAAGGGAAGUUCAGAUGUGUAGGUGCAGGGCACAAGGUGAAGAAUGGGAUUAAAGGAGGAAAGGUCUCAAAUUCGGGUGUUAGGCUGGAUUUGAGGAGGUUGGUAAAAACUGAGUAGAAGAUGCUGCGUAUAGGCUGAGCCUAAAGUGGGUAAGAUGUGCUGGGCUGGGCCCUGCAGGCUGAGCUCAGGGGAGAGCAGAGAAGAGGUUCAGUGAGGAGCUGAUCCCUUCCCUUUUCUCUGGAGCAGCAGGGAAAUGACGUUCAGCCCAUCCACAGUGUGUGUGCCGCCUGCCAUCUGUUCAUCUCCACAGAUAUACAAAGGUCAGUGGAUCCUACUGUCCUGUUUACAAACUGAUGACCAGGGGAGCAGAGACAUUGUUCAGAGAAAAAAACCCCUUACUUUGAAGGGUGUUACAAUUCUCACACCUUUAAAAUUCUUUCUAUAUCCCUAAAUCCUUUUUAAUUCUCUUUUCCAGGUGAUUUCUGUUUCUUUUCCGAUAGGAAAGCAAAAGAAACUAAUCUUAAAAUGAAAAAUACUUUAUUAAUGUAUUUGAAGGUAUUCUUAUUUCCGGUGUUACUCUCCAAUCCAUCUUUAACAUAGCCUGACAUCUUGUUUGCUUUUUUGACCACGACUGUGCACUGAGUAGAAGUUUCCACUAAGCUGUCCACGGUAACGCCUAGAUCUUUUUCUUGAGUGAUUUUGCAAACCAUCAGUGUAUAUGAAUAGUUCAAAUUGUUCCUUUCAAACACAUUACUUCACACUUAACCUACGCUAAAUUUCAGUUGCCGCCUUGUUGCCCAGUCCUUUCCUUUAGGGUUGUUUUUUUUU
Molecule: long non-coding RNA, 6702 nt
Organism: Columba livia (rock pigeon)
Lineage: Eukaryota; Metazoa; Chordata; Aves; Columbiformes; Columbidae
Exons: 6
Source: RefSeq, a predicted model, not a curated record